GAGCGGAUGACGGGAGCUUGCUCCCGAAUUCAGCGGCGGACGGGUGAGUAAUGCCUAGGAAUCUGCCUGGUAGUGGGGGACAACGUCUCGAAAGGGACGCUAAUACCGCAUACGUCCUACGGGAGAAAGUGGGGGAUCUUCGGACCUCACGCUAUCAGAUGAGCCUAGGUCGGAUUAGCUAGUUGGUGAGGUAAUGGCUCACCAAGGCGACGAUCCGUAACUGGUCUGAGAGGAUGAUCAGUCACACUGGAACUGAGACACGGUCCAGACUCCUACGGGAGGCAGCAGUGGGGAAUAUUGGACAAUGGGCGAAAGCCUGAUCCAGCCAUGCCGCGUGUGUGAAGAAGGUCUUCGGAUUGUAAAGCACUUUAAGUUGGGAGGAAGGGCAUUAACCUAAUACGUUGAUGUUUUGACGUUACCGACAGAAUAAGCACCGGCUAACUCUGUG
Molecule: ribosomal RNA, 448 nt
Filed under: uncultured bacterium
Lineage: Bacteria
Description: bacterial SSU rRNA
Rfam family: Bacterial small subunit ribosomal RNA
Source: RNAcentral